Molecule: unclassified non-coding RNA, 532 nt
Filed under: Hevea brasiliensis (rubber tree)
Lineage: Eukaryota; Viridiplantae; Streptophyta; Magnoliopsida; Malpighiales; Euphorbiaceae
Source: RNAcentral
AACCCCACACAUUUCUUCAUACAAUACCACAAUAAAAAAAACACAAACCUUCAAUAUUAAAACCUAAAUUUACAAAAAACUUAAAACUUAAUUUUUUAUUUUAUUUAAUUUUAUUUUAUUUAAAUCAAACCACCACAUCAUUUAAAAUUUUUACACAUUCUAAUUAUUCAAUUCCAAAACACCAAACUUAUACUACACACAAUCCCCAUAAAAAAACCCCCUCAACAAAACAACCACAAAUACUACCAUAAAAAAACAACAAAAUACCCUCCUCCCUUAUUUACUACCUAAACAACCACCAAAUUUUAAAACCCAUACACCCUACUAAAUUUCUAAAAUACAAUUCAUAAACCCUUCCCUUUCCCAUCCCAACAAAUAAUCAAAAACCCACUAACCUCCAAAAUACCAAAAACAAAACUAAACCAACCAACCAAAAUUCAAAAUUCUAACCCUUAAACUUACAACAAACACUCAACUACUUAAAAAAACCACACAACUCUAACCUUUCAACAAAAAAAUAAAACAAUCAAAA